This 253-nucleotide ribosomal RNA is filed under the name uncultured bacterium. RNAcentral describes it as "partial 16S ribosomal RNA". It matches the Rfam family "Bacterial small subunit ribosomal RNA", at positions 524 to 776 of the family's 1533-position model. The record is from RNAcentral.
UACGUAGGGUCCGAGCGUUGUCCGGAAUUACUGGGCGUAAAGAGCUCGUAGGCGGUUUGUCGCGUUGUUCGUGAAAACUCACAGCUCAACUGUGGGCGUGCGGGCGAUACGGGCAGACUGGAGUACUGCAGGGGAGACUGGAAUUCCUGGUGUAGCGGUGGAAUGCGCAGAUAUCAGGAGGAACACCGGUGGCGAAGGCGGGUCUCUGGGCAGUAACUGACGCUGAGGAGCGAAAGCGUGGGGAGCGAACAGG